Molecule: long non-coding RNA, 740 nt
Filed under: Homo sapiens (human)
Lineage: Eukaryota; Metazoa; Chordata; Mammalia; Primates; Hominidae
Description: HSALNT0125411
Source: RNAcentral
GAAUUAGUGCCACCAUGACAGUAUACAUUGAUAAAAGAAAGUUGAGAUGAAUAUGGGGACCUAUGCCCAAAUUUCGGGGCUCAUAAACUGCAAAUGGAAUCAAUGAAGGAAGACAGGAAAGAAUAAUCAGCCUAUGUAAGCUCCAGGGUGAUAUAAUGUCAUAGAACCAAAGAGAGGACAUAGUUGAAGAACCAGAAGACUGCUGUAGGGUCAAACACUUUAGAGAGCGGUAGGAGAAUUGGAUUUGAGACAGAUUUUUCAUUUGGCAAAAUGGAAGAGAAGCGGAAAACUCAGAAGCACACAACACAUGUUAAGACAGUCAUGAUAAAUUUAUGUAAAUGUUUAGAUUUUACAGUUGGUUAUUUAUAAAGUCAAGUGUAUUACCUAACGAAUCCACCUAAUUUAUCAUCAUAGCCCAAACAAGCCAUCUAACUAAGCAAGUAUGUUUUCCAAGCCACGCAUUUUUUUAUUAGAAUUGUCUUCACGAGCAGCAAUAUAUUCACCAUCAUCCCGUUCCUAGAAUAUUUCUGUUAUCCCCAGACUUCAUCUAUAAGUCAUAUCAUAGAGCAUUUCUCCCUUUAUCUCUUUCACCUGACCCAACUCUAAAGCUCUUUCUACACAACUGAGCUUUACCUCUGCAAUUGGGUAUCUAUAUUCACUAUAUUACUUGACAUCCAUUUUUGAAUGACUAUAAUACGUUGUCUUUCUUCCAUGAAAGCAUAUAAUGUUCUCCUACAAGC